CACGUGGGCAACCUGCCCCUGGCUUCGGGAUAAGCCCGGGAAACCGGGUCUAAUACUGGAUAUGAGACUGGAUCGCAUGGUCUGGUUUGGAAAGUUUUUCGGCUGGGGAUGGGCCCGCGGCCUAUCAGCUUGUUGGUGGGGUGAUGGCCUACCAAGGCGACGACGGGUAGCCGGCCUGAGAGGGCGAUCGGCCACACUGGGACUGAGACACGGCCCAGACUCCUACGGGAGGCAGCAGUGGGGAAUAUUGCACAAUGGGCGCAAGCCUGAUGCAGCGACGCCGCGUGAGGGAUGACGGCC
RNAcentral lists this ribosomal RNA (300 nucleotides) under uncultured Actinomycetales bacterium. Its description in RNAcentral is "bacterial SSU rRNA". It matches the Rfam family "Bacterial small subunit ribosomal RNA", at positions 114 to 416 of the family's 1533-position model. The record is from RNAcentral. Lineage: Bacteria; Bacillati; Actinomycetota; Actinomycetes; Actinomycetales.